GCAAGUCGAGCGCAUCCUUCGGGGUGAGCGGCGGACGGGUUAGUAACGCGUGGGAACGUACCCUUUUCUACGGAAUAGCCAUUGGAAACGAUGAGUAAUACCGUAUACGCCCUUCGGGGGGAAGAUUUAUCGGUGAAGGAUUAGCCCGCGUAAGAUUAGAUAGUUGGUGGGGUAAUGGCCUACCAAGUCUACGAUCUUUAGCUGGUUUUAGAGGAUGAUC
RNAcentral lists this ribosomal RNA (220 nucleotides) under uncultured bacterium. RNAcentral describes it as "partial 16S ribosomal RNA". It matches the Rfam family "Bacterial small subunit ribosomal RNA", at positions 57 to 305 of the family's 1533-position model. The record is from RNAcentral.